AGAAAUAUUCUCUUUGGGAUAUGCUGUGUCAAUGUUAAUGAGGUGAUUACUUAGAAGAGAUUUGACAGAUGAUGACAUAUAUGAGUCAAUGUCUGGGAAACAUUAUAUUAGUUAAACCA
Haliotis rubra (blacklip abalone) is the source of this 119-nucleotide long non-coding RNA. RefSeq lists it as uncharacterized. The record is from RefSeq and is a predicted model, not a curated record. The transcript is spliced from 3 exons. Lineage: Eukaryota; Metazoa; Mollusca; Gastropoda; Lepetellida; Haliotidae.